This 449-nucleotide ribosomal RNA is filed under the name uncultured bacterium. RNAcentral describes it as "partial 16S ribosomal RNA". It matches the Rfam family "Bacterial small subunit ribosomal RNA", at positions 29 to 523 of the family's 1533-position model. The record is from RNAcentral.
AGCGAACGCUGGCGGCAGGCUUAACACAUGCAAGUCGAACGCAUCCUUCGGGGUGAGUGGCAGACGGGUGAGUAACGCGUGGGAACAUGCCCUUUGGUUCGGAAUAACUCAGGGAAACUUGAGCUAAUACCGGAUAAGCCCUUUUGGGGAAAGAUUUAUCGCCGAAGGAUUGGCCCGCGUCCGAUUAGCUAGUUGGUGAGGUAAUGGCUCACCAAGGCGACGAUCGGUAGCUGGUCUGAGAGGAUGAUCAGCCACACUGGGACUGAGACACGGCCCAGACUCCUACGGGAGGCAGCAGUGGGGAAUAUUGGACAAUGGGGGCAACCCUGAUCCAGCCAUGCCGCGUGAGUGAUGAAGGCCCUAGGGUUGUAAAGCUCUUUCGGCGGGGACGAUAAUGACGGUACCCGCAGAAGAGGCCCCGGCUAACUUCGUGCCAGCAGCCGCGGUAA